This 355-nucleotide unclassified non-coding RNA is filed under the name soil metagenome. RNAcentral describes it as "partial contains 5.8S ribosomal RNA, internal transcribed spacer 2, and large subunit ribosomal RNA". The stretch from base 1 to 120 matches the Rfam family "5.8S ribosomal RNA", at positions 35 to 154 of the family's 154-position model. The record is from RNAcentral.
GAUGAAGAACGUAGCGAAAUGCGAUAAGUAAUGUGAAUUGCAGAAUUCAGUGAAUCAUCGAAUCUUUGAACGCACAUUGCGCCCAUUAGUAUUCUAGUGGGCAUGCCUGUUCGAGCGUCAUUAAGUCCACUUAAGCCCUGCUUAGUGUUGGGAGACUGCUCCAGCGGUGCUACCCUGUAGCUACCCUGCAGCUCCUCAAAGACAGCGGCGGAGUUGUGGUAUCCUCUGAGCUUAGUAACUUGUCCUAGCUUUCGAGUACACCACUUCCCCUGCCGUAAAACCCUUAAUUUUUAAUGGUUGACCUCGGAUCAGGUAGGAAUACCCGCUGAACUUAAGCAUAUCAAUAAGCGGAGGA